AGGAUUUUAGUUUAUAAAAACAUUUGAUUUGCAUUCAAAAAAUAUUAAUUUAAUUAAUUUAUCUUA
RNAcentral lists this transfer RNA (66 nucleotides) under Lamoria adaptella. Its description in RNAcentral is "tRNA-Ala". Lineage: Eukaryota; Metazoa; Arthropoda; Insecta; Lepidoptera; Pyralidae. The record is from RNAcentral.